CGAACGGGUGAGUAAUGCGUGACCAACCUGCCCCAUGCUCCAGAAUAGCUCUUGGAAACGGGUGGUAAUGCUGGAUGCUCCAACUUGACGCAUGUCUUGUUGGGAAAGUGUUUAGUGGCAUGGGAUGGGGUCGCGUCCUAUCAGCUUGUAGGCGGGGUAAUGGCCCACCUAGGCUUCGACGGGUAGCCGGCCUGAGAGGGCGGACGGCCACAUUGGGACUGAGAUACGGCCCAGACUCCUACGGGAGGCAGCAGNG
Molecule: ribosomal RNA, 256 nt
Filed under: uncultured Gardnerella sp.
Lineage: Bacteria; Bacillati; Actinomycetota; Actinomycetes; Bifidobacteriales; Bifidobacteriaceae
Description: partial 16S ribosomal RNA
Rfam family: Bacterial small subunit ribosomal RNA
Source: RNAcentral